RNAcentral lists this transfer RNA (82 nucleotides) under Chloroflexota bacterium. RNAcentral's name for it is "Chloroflexi bacterium tRNA-Tyr". It matches the Rfam family "tRNA". Rfam says of the family: Transfer RNA (tRNA) molecules are approximately 80 nucleotides in length. Their secondary structure includes four short double-helical elements and three loops (D, anti-codon, and T loops). Further hydrogen bonds mediate the characteristic L-shaped molecular structure. tRNAs have two regions of fundamental functional importance: the anti-codon, which is responsible for specific mRNA codon recognition, and the 3' end, to which the tRNAs corresponding amino acid is attached (by aminoacyl-tRNA synthetases). tRNAs cope with the degeneracy of the genetic code in two manners: having more than one tRNA (with a specific anti-codon) for a particular amino acid; and 'wobble' base-pairing, i.e. permitting non-standard base-pairing at the 3rd anti-codon position. RNAcentral also lists the same sequence under 2 other names. The record is from RNAcentral. Lineage: Bacteria; Bacillati; Chloroflexota.
GGGCAGGUACCCAAGUGGCCAAAGGGAGCGGUCUGUAAAAUCGCUGGCUCAGCCUUCGGAGGUUCGAAUCCUUCCCUGCCCA